GACGAACGCUGGCGGCGUGCUUAACACAUGCAAGUCGAACGAAGUGGCGAACGGGUGAGUAACGCGUAAUCAACCUGCCCUUCAGAGGGGGACAACAGUUGGAAACGACUGCUAAUACCGCAUACUGAAGGAGGGGAUUGCGUCGGAUUAGCUAGUUGGAGGGGUAACGGCCCACCAAGGCGAUGAUCAGUAGCCGGUCUGGGAGGGUGGACGGCCACAUAGGGACGUGGCAACGGCCCAGGAUCCUACCGGAAGCAGCAGUGGGGAAUCUUCCGCAAAGGACGAAAGUCUGACGGGGCAACGCCGCGUGAGUGAUGACGGGCUUCGGGUUGUAAAGCUCUGUUAAUCGGGACGCAGUACCGGAAUAGAAAGCCACGGCUAACUACGUGCCAGCAGCCGCGGUAAUAC
Molecule: ribosomal RNA, 408 nt
Filed under: uncultured bacterium
Lineage: Bacteria
Description: partial 16S ribosomal RNA
Rfam family: Bacterial small subunit ribosomal RNA
Source: RNAcentral